GGAGAAUUGGCCGAGUGGUCGAAGGCGCACGCUUGGAAAGCGUGUAUACGGCAACGUAUCGAGGGUUCGAAUCCCUUGUUCUCCG
RNAcentral lists this transfer RNA (85 nucleotides) under Bacteriovorax sp. BSW11_IV. It matches the Rfam family "tRNA". From Rfam's summary of the family: Transfer RNA (tRNA) molecules are approximately 80 nucleotides in length. Lineage: Bacteria; Pseudomonadati; Bdellovibrionota; Bacteriovoracia; Bacteriovoracales; Bacteriovoracaceae. The record is from Rfam by way of RNAcentral.